Molecule: ribosomal RNA, 497 nt
Filed under: uncultured bacterium
Lineage: Bacteria
Description: partial 16S ribosomal RNA
Rfam family: Bacterial small subunit ribosomal RNA
Source: RNAcentral
GACGAACGCUGGCGGCGUGCCUAAUACAUGCAAGUCGAACGCUGAAGAGAGGAGCUUACUCUUCUUGGAUGAGUUGCGAACGGGUGAGUAACGCGUAGGUAACCUGCCUUGUAGCGGGGGAUAACUAUUGGAAACGAUAGCUAAUACCGCAUAACAAUGGAUGACACAUGUCAUUUAUUUGAAAGGGGCAAUUGCUCCACUACAAGAUGGACCUGCGUUGUAUUAGCUAGUAGGUGAGGUAAUGGCUCACCUAGGCGACGAUACAUAGCCGACCUGAGAGGGGGAUCGGCCACACUGGGACUGAGACACGGCCCAGACUCCUACGGGAGGCAGCAGUAGGGAAUCUUCGGCAAUGGGGGCAACCCUGACCGAGCAACGCCGCGUGAGUGAAGAAGGUUUUCGGAUCGUAAAGCUCUGUUGUAAGUCAAGAACGGGUGUGAGAGUGGAAAGUUCACACUGUGACGGUAGCUUACCAGAAAGGGACGGCUAACUACGUG